UAUGAACACAGGCAUUUAACUUGUUGUUGCUCACUUCACCACCAAUAUAAUUAAUAGACUCUAAGCGUUAAAUCAGCACAAGUUUUUGGAACUGGCGAAAUAAUUUUGAUAAAACUUUCAUGAAUUCAGUACUAAUAGAAUCAUAUUAAAUGAAGUUACCAUAAAAUGGCAAUGUCUCCAGGGAGAAAAAUAGGCUACAUACAAAUAAAGAAAUUUUAAGCCUAGGGCAUGUCUUUCAUCAUUUUGAAUGAAAGAAAUUAACAGAGAUUGCCUUCUAUCUUUUGAGAAGAAAUUUUUGUUACCCCCAAAAUCUCUAGCAAGCUAAGUUGUUAGUAAAACCCAUGUACACAUUGCUAAGUAUGCAGGAUCUGAGAGAGUAUGCAUCUUCCUGAAGAUAUAUUAACUCAACAGUGACCUGGCUGCCUGUGAUGAACCUUGGCUAGAAGAGAUAAAUGUUGUGUAGCUCACCAUAAGGACUUUUUCUUACACUUAUCCAUAAGCAGCAGGAAUAAUGAAGGACUAAAACUCCAAAGCUGUAGAAUAUGGAUGCAGCCAUAGUUGACAUACUCCAAAGUACACAUAAACUGUCCAGAACCCUAAUAAAAGAGCUUCAUGGGAAGAAGAAGAGAAGAAAAGCAGCAGAGAAAGCACUUGGCAAGAGGGCUCAGUCACAGCAGAUUUUAGAAGCACUACCAAAUGUACCCUUCGAAAGAUGAGAGGAACAACCAAAGAGAAAGGAUUGACUGUAAGGAGAAAAGUGACAUUUUGGUGAAUGAUAGACAAAUUGCAUAAAGAGAAACUCAUGUUGCUACUCCUAGAAAGAGGAAGAUCACUGUUUUGAGCAACAUACCUAAAACUUCCCUUCUUCAACAUAACAGUCCCAUUUUUUUCCAGUAAGAUAACAACAUUGUCUCAAUUGCAUUAUGACUACUUCUGCAGCCCAUUUAAACUUUUGUCGUUUUCUGUUCUCACUUGUCUGGGGAAAAGAUGGACUAUUUCUGCUAGGGUGAAUGAAGCACAGACUUCAUGUCAUUUCCUUCCAUAUCUAUAUCAUUAUGGGUGGCGGCAAGAGGAGAGCAAUUCAGCCUUUCUCCACUGAAACCCUUCUAUCACAUUGUGUGCAAAGCUCCAGGCAGACAGGCUGGAUGCUUGCAUGUUCUCCAAAGACUGCAGUCAUAAAACUGCUCCUGCAAGAUCAGGCCCUUGCUAAUUACAAUACUAACAUUAACUUUUUCAUUCAUGGUAGAUUUUCAUUCAUUUCUUAAGGCUAAUACUAAUUGCAACUUAAAAAAAAUAAUGCUAAAUAGGGCAAGCAAUCUGGGAACCCAAAUGGUAUAUUCCCCUCCUGAUACACAUUCUCUCAUUAGACACAUGAACAGAGGAGGGAAAAAAAAAUCUCUCUAAAGAGCUGGCACUGCAAAUUAUUUUUUUUAUAAAUUAUAUUUGUUCUGGGGUUAUUGAAUAUACUAUUUUUUUAUUUAUAAAAUGAGAGUUUGGGGAUAAUCGACUUGGUAAGCAGUCUCAAUGGAGAAUUUAAAAUGAGGGAAAACAUGGUGAAGAGGAAAUAAUAAGGGUAGUGAAGUACUAGAUCUUGAAAAGUAAUCUGGGAUAAACCAAAGGGACAUUUAAUAAACAUGAUCUUUGUUAAAUUUGCUUUGGAUCUAGCUAGCAAAAAUUCCAGAAAUAUUUUGCUAGUUAAGAAAAUAACUGCUUUCCUGAAAUGAUUUCCCUCUCUGGUCUGUUACUUUUCUUCUACCUGCAAUUAUCAUAUAAAAAUGUUAGCUAAAAUAAAAUAAAUUUAUCUUAAUUGGAUAAAAAGAAGGAUGCACUUUUAUUUCUUUAUUUAUUAAUUUGGCAAGAAUUUGUUGACAUGUCCAUCUAUAUAAGCAGUCAUUUCCUUGUUAGGAAAAUCAGAAUUCUCACUUGCCUGUAUUAUUAACCCCAGGGAUUUCUUGCCACAGGAUUUGUUUACAUUAUAAUUCAAAAUUGAAUUUUGGGCUUCUCCUUCCUAGAAAUGUUUUUCUGUCAUUAACAGAAGUCACAUUAGCAGUGCAUUUUUAUCAUAAAAUGGGCUAAGUUUGAAGGGAUUAGAUAGACUAGUAUAGGUGUUAAAUUCUGGGUUGGGUUCAAGUAAAUGUUAACUAAAUUGAGAUGGUAAGCAUGUGUUCUGUCCUUAACCCAAGGCUCAGUAGCACAUGCUACUGUGUAUAUGUGGCACCCAGAUGUGGGACUUUGUCUUUUCUGGUUAACCAGUGUAUUCAGAUUUUGAGGACAGUAUUUGGAGGCUGAGAGAACCCACAGUUUUCACAUAUGCAGAGGUGGGUUCCCUUAGCACUUAUACUCACCCAGGGUAACCUCAGCCCUCAGGACUUGAUUCAAAAUGUUUCUUUCCAUUCAGUAUCUAGUCACUUUCAGGUUUUCCACAGCUGGAGAAAACCCUAUUAUGUGCUCAGUCUGAUGAUUACUCAGGGCUCAGAUACAGAGAUACUGAUGUGGCAGGUCUUAAAGGGCCUUGUGCUCUACGUUGUCAGGUUUCUUUUACCAGUAAUUAAAAAUAUAUGCAUCAACAGAAAGGAGAGGGAAAUAGAAACAAUAGUACUCACUCUUACUGUUAAUAUGGACCUUACAAGAAUUGAAAACAUAAUCAAAUCACUGCUUUUAUCAUAUAAUAAAAUAUAGACCAUUAUUAAACCUACUCAGAAGUAAGUUGCUUGUCAAAUUAUAGGUUCUGAAAUAUGACCAAAUGCAGCAGAAGCCCAUAAAGACAAGCACUUAUUUGAUGCCUAGGAUUGCGGAAUGUCAAGUAAAUUAAAGGAAAAUAGACCUCAGAAGAAUAAAUAUGUCAGUUAAAACAUGAAUGUUCUUUUGCAAUCAGUCAAUUUCUAGUCUAGCCUAUCAAUGCUACCUUUUCCACUAGUCCUAAUUUUGGUUGCAGGAACUUCCACUGGAGUGCUACCUGUUUUUUGGAUUUCAUGCAAUAUUACUUCCUUUUUUAUUGCUGCUUCCAGCUAUUGCUAUCAAAUGAAAAUACAUGAACAGCAGCAGUGAAACAACCUUCUCAGGAAGAGGACAGCAGACGAGACCUUCUUUUUGUGUUCCAGGGAAGAGGCACUUAUCCCUGCAGUGUCAGCAUUCCUCUGGAAGAAUACCAUACACUCUCUAAAUACAUGUGAGGAUUGCGGUAAAGUGGACCAUAUUUGUAGCAAAAUAUAGGUACCCUAAAUCUAGUAAGGGAUUCACAUCAACAACAACACAAGCCUUCAUGGGAGAACUUUACUCAAAAAACCAUUCCAUAAGGCAUUGGACUUAGAUUUACAAGUGUGUUCUUCCAAAUUCUUCAAGAAACAGAUGUUUCCAUCUAGUUAAACUCUUUGAGAGGUUAUUCUGCGAAUUAAAACGUCACAUCAAAGCUAAACUGAUAAAAUAUAAGGAGUUCAAAAACACUCUGGCACAAUCUUACAUAUGAAUUAUUGUAAAAAAUAAAUAAAAUAUUAAUGAGUGUAAAGGCAUUUAUAGUAAAGUGAAUCACACGAUAAAAACACUAUUGGAGCUAAUAUUUUGUAACAUUUCUAAAGGAUCACACUAAUGACAUUAUUUAUGAAAAUAAAGAGUAG
Sapajus apella (tufted capuchin) is the source of this 3614-nucleotide long non-coding RNA. RefSeq lists it as uncharacterized. The record is from RefSeq and is a predicted model, not a curated record. The transcript is spliced from 3 exons. NCBI's taxonomy places the organism in Eukaryota, Metazoa, Chordata, Mammalia, Primates, Cebidae.